UAUGGUGAUAGCAUUGGUGGAAACAUCAGGGCUACGGGUUCGCUCUCGAUCAACCAUGAUUUGCAAAACCUUCUACAAGUCUCACAACUUUGCCAAAUUUGGGGUUAGAUGACAAGUUCUAAUGUCAACCGUUUGAGGGCAAACCCUUUGUUAGUCAAAUACCUUCUUCUCUAAAUGGCGUCCAAAUAUCAAGGGUGAGAAGGUUGCUUAAGUCAUUUUCUGGUGACCAUGACUAUUCACGCCUGUGGUGGUGUUCACAUGUUGUCCAUAAUGAGAGCACGUACCAGUGAAAAUGGUUCCUUUUUAAAACUUGCUGUGCGUAUGAAGACCAACCCUGGGACGUCCCAGUGAUUCAUAAAGACAACUAGACUGCAAACAAUACACAGCUGCACCAUUUACACACUCCCAACCCAAGCAGCGUCAUUUCAAGGGAUCGGGGGAAGAAGGUAGAAGAACAGUGGGUCUUUAGAUUUAGAAGUGUCUGCACGAAACCUGGAAAAAGGUUUUCAGGUUGCAAUCCUUUCUCUGGAGAAGGCAAGAGGAGAGAAAAGCACAACGCGAGUCAAUGGGAUGAUCAUGGAAUGUUAAACAUUCCUUUAAAAUGCUUCUCUUAGUUUGUACGAUAAUAGUAUUUGGUUAGUCGGGCAAAAGUGCGACAAAUAAUAACUUGUACUAACUUGAACUUUGACAGAUUUACUCUAUUUACUUUAUAUCAAAGCCAUUCAUUUAAAAACCAAGCAAAAUUUGAAUUUAUUUCCCCGCAAUUGCAAUUUGGUAUUAUAACCGGCAAAAGUGAAUCAAGUGAACGGCAUCCAUAGAACUUAGUGUCAGUUAUUGUUGUGAGGUAAAGCGGUGCAGAGGUUUUAAAUCUAUCUGUAUUUGUUCAUGUUGUGAAGAAAUGAAUAGAAAUUGUAGGCAAAUUACAUUUAUAAAUCUAUCAAUGCACAGCCACACAGGCUGAAGUGAACUGAGGGCUUCAAAGAAAGCAUGUUGGGUUCAUGGCGGCUUCUCUUUUCAAUUAUCUUUGUUUUUUACUCUUACUUUACUUUGCACUUUGGGUUUGAGUCAAAGUCCACGCGGUUCGGGGAGAAGUCCACCGAUUGAUAUGAUAUAUAGAUAAAGCCUUAUUUGGUGCCGGGGAAUCCUGUAGAAUUGGAUUAUUGGCCUCAUGUUGUGUGUUUGCUGGGGUCGUAGACGACAUGAUAUAGAAAGAAGUCACUUCAUCAGAAGCUUCAGGAUACUUAGCAUUACUAGGGAUUCAUGCCGUAACUCGAUAUCUCCAAGGUAUCAACCCAGUGACAAGUAGUAUCUAACCUCUCCAAUCGGGCUAUACCUGCUAUUGGUUCUUUUUGUGCAUGGAUAUAGACCUCUACAUUUAUUUGUAUGGACUU
Molecule: long non-coding RNA, 1391 nt
Organism: Gasterosteus aculeatus aculeatus (three-spined stickleback)
Lineage: Eukaryota; Metazoa; Chordata; Actinopteri; Perciformes; Gasterosteidae
Source: Ensembl